RNAcentral lists this non-coding RNA (23 nucleotides) under Cricetulus griseus (Chinese hamster). The record is from RNAcentral. Lineage: Eukaryota; Metazoa; Chordata; Mammalia; Rodentia; Cricetidae.
CAGAUAAUCAGACUGGAGGAAGU